AUCUACAUCUUGCUCCGAGUCCCCGGGCCUACGGCAGUUAUGCUAUGGCCGGCGGACCGAUAGGGUGCACCGGGAAACGGGUGCGCCUCCCAGUGCGGAAAGGAGAACAAGGUAACAGGGU
Molecule: non-coding RNA, 121 nt
Filed under: Clostridia bacterium
Lineage: Bacteria; Bacillati; Bacillota; Clostridia
Description: MoCo sequence
Rfam family: Molybdenum/Tungsten riboswitch aptamer (Moco RNA motif)
Source: RNAcentral